RNAcentral lists this ribosomal RNA (253 nucleotides) under uncultured bacterium. RNAcentral's name for it is "partial 16S ribosomal RNA". It matches the Rfam family "Bacterial small subunit ribosomal RNA", at positions 524 to 776 of the family's 1533-position model. The record is from RNAcentral.
UACGUAGGGUGCAAGCGUUAAUCGGAAUUACUGGGCGUAAAGCGUGCGCAGGCGGUUUUGUAAGUCUGUCGUGAAAUCCCCGGGCUCAACCUGGGAAUUGCGAUGGAGACUGCAAGGCUAGAAUCUGGCAGAGGGGGGUAGAAUUCCACGUGUAGCAGUGAAAUGCGUAGAGAUGUGGAGGAACACCGAUGGCGAAGGCAGCCCCCUGGGUCAAGAUUGACGCUCAUGCACGAAAGCGCGGGGAGCAAACAGG